UACGGAGGGGGCUAGCGUUGUUCGGAAUCAUUGGGCGUAAAGGGCGCGUAGGCGGCCGAUCAAGUCGGAGGUGAAAUCCCUCGGCUCAACUGAGGAAUUGCCUUUGAUACUGUUCGGCUUGAGUCCUGGAGAGGGUAGCGGAAUUCCCGGUGUAGCGGUGAAAUGCGUAGAGACCGGGAAGAACACCAGUGGCGAAGGCGGCUACCUGGACAGGUACUGACGCUGAAGCGCGAAAGCUAGGGGAGCAAACAGG
This 253-nucleotide ribosomal RNA is filed under the name uncultured bacterium. RNAcentral's name for it is "partial 16S ribosomal RNA". It matches the Rfam family "Bacterial small subunit ribosomal RNA", at positions 524 to 776 of the family's 1533-position model. The record is from RNAcentral.